UACGUAGGGAGCAAGCGUUGUCCGGAAUCAUUGGGCGUAAAGCGCGCGUAGGUGGCCCCAUAAGUCCGCUGUGAAAGUCAAAGGCUCAACCUUUGAAAGCCGGUGGAUACUGUGGGACUAGAGUACGGAAGAGGCGAGUGGAAUUCCUGGUGUAGCGGUGGAAUGCGCAGAUAUCAGGAGGAACACCAAUAGCGAAGGCAGCUCGCUGGGACGUUACUGACGCUGAGACGCGAAAGCGUGGGGAGCAAACAGG
This 253-nucleotide ribosomal RNA is filed under the name uncultured bacterium. Its description in RNAcentral is "partial 16S ribosomal RNA". It matches the Rfam family "Bacterial small subunit ribosomal RNA", at positions 524 to 776 of the family's 1533-position model. The record is from RNAcentral.